AUUGAAAUGAAAACUUAGUGAAUACUUAAAAAAUUAUUAAAAAAAGUUAUUAUUAUUAGUUAUUAGUUAUUAUUAAGAGUAUUUCUUCUGACAUUUGUCUUCUUAGGUUGCUUAUAUGGUCCCCAGAAGGAUUGAUACUGAAAUGUUGUGGAAUGUUAGGAAAGUGCUUCACUGUUUCCUUUGCCAUCUUCAGAAAAGGACAAAAAAAAAAACAAAAAAAAACAACAACAACUGAUUGUGUGCUUUUGGAACUUUUUUGGAUGUUUUUAUGCAUUCACAUCGUUUGGACAGACAAAGAGAAAAUUCUUCAAAUCUACAUUUGUUUUCAAUGAAGAAAGUCAUACACAUCUAUUGCAUAAGGGCAAAGAAACAGCUCUGGAGCAUUUACCAACAAUCAUCUAAAACAGAAGACUGCAAGGUAACCUUAAGAAAACUCAGUGUUGUGACAGCUGAUUCAACCUCAUUCUGAAGUACUGUCUGUUGGACAACAGUUUCAUGCAGACAUCCUGUGAAAUUGUUCUAAUUUCUCAUUUUAUUCAUUAAUGUGAUGAAAAAAGACUUACUGGAAUUUUUGGGAUGCUUUCAUCAGCGUCUAAACAUCGGUUUCAGCACUUGCUGGAUCCACAACAAAAAUUUGUUUGGACAGAACAUGCAGGUACUACACAACACAACACAAGCCAUCCAACUGAAUAUUCAUUUAAACAUCUUGUUGACAUUUUUAUAUGCCAGUAUCUUCUGUUAAAAUGAAAUAUUGAUUUAAAAAAUGUUUUUAAUAUGAAUUUGUAGUGUUUACCACAAACAUCCAGUGGUUGCUUCUUAUAUUGACAAAUUAAAUGAUUCCACCAAACAACUCAAAAUUAACCUGUAUAACAAUAAAUUCAUGAGUUCAUAUUAU
Long non-coding RNA from Cyprinus carpio (common carp), 895 nucleotides. The record is from Ensembl. NCBI's taxonomy places the organism in Eukaryota, Metazoa, Chordata, Actinopteri, Cypriniformes, Cyprinidae.